UUGGAAUGGCCAAGACGGGGUCAGUCGUUCUCCGCGAGAGGGCGUACUUUACAAAUUAACGACGAUUUCCCUUGCGUUUGGACACUGUCUUGUCGCUGCUUUUCGUGCUUUUGCCGCGGUUAUACUAGCAUGAGUAGUUUGUUCCGAAAUACUAGCGUUGGGAUUGCUGUUCGCCAUCAUGUAAUCGGUAAAUAUUAUUGCUUUACGGUCUGGAUGAUUUAGGGAAAAGUAUUGUAGAAGACGAACAAGUUUUUUUCGUUGAUUCUGUGAGAAAAAGACGCUUACUCGUAGGCCUACCGCCCGGUACCACAGAGUACAGACCAUCAUUCAUGCAAUCGAUGCAUGGCGUGUGUGUCAUUGACACUGUGAGUGUGUGCAGACUUAAGACUGCAGUCUAGGCGUUCAGGCUACAGGCUUCAUCAUGUCUGUGUAUGUGUAAGCCUAGUGUCACUCUCAGCUCAGUCUUACUCUUUCUGUGGAGUGUGCGUCCAUCAUGAUAUUGUAUUGCCAACACGUCAUGGAGUGCAUACUAUAUAUCGGUACUAUAGAUCCAUGCACUUCAUUGGGACCAACGUUUAUGAAAACGUCGCGUCUCGUCGAGUUACAGUAAUGUAAAAUGCAUGCCCGUGACGUGACGACAGCCAACACUACGUCAUGUAAACGUUGUUCCCAAUCUAGUGCAUGAAUCUAUAGGCCUAGGUCUAUAUUAUAUAUCACCACUUAGGAAAUAGACGAAUUCGAAGAAGACGGAAUCGGUGCCAAAACAAAUCGAAUGCGCACACUCGGAAUACGUCAGAAGGCCUAGUAAGCCGACUUCGGACAGUGCCUAGAGAGACACGGCGAUCCUUUGUUCAAGGGCCCUCCGUGCCACCCCUGGGGUUUUUAAUGCCACUCGUGCCCACACUCAAGUGUUUUGAAGAAUGUAAAAUCCAGUGUGUGAUAAACAUGUGUAAAGAAACCUUUCGUAAGAAGCCAGAAGAGCUUUACAACAAUCUUGGACUGGGAGAUGGAGGCCAUCAUAAACUUCUUGUAGGAUGAGUUGCCGCAGACAGAGAUGAAAACCAUGAUGAAUGUCCGUGAGCCAGAGGCUAUGAUUUGUUUAGUACAACAAUGCGAGGGACUUAACAAAAUUGAGGCGGAAAUAUUCUUGAGGCAGUGUCGGUGCAUGGAAGAAACGGAAACAUUGGAUUAAGGAUUUAUUUCAUAGUGAAUUACACAGUCACAAAUGGAUUACACACGUUCUGGAUUAGACUAGUUUCUGCUGCAACUGACAUUUUUGCAGGUGCCCACUCGUAGGCGAUUCCUUGAUGUCUUCCUUGGAUUUUACAUGAUAUUAUGUCAUUUUCGCCAACAUCGGGUUUUGGCGCCAAGACGUUUGUUCCUAGAACAGUUGAUUUAAAUGCCGAAUGUGGUCAGUUUUAAUUUAUAUCGCAGGUGUCUACUCAAACAAUUUUAGAUGCUUUCUGCUGAAUCUUCUACUACUACUGUUUUUACUGAGGUUUCAUCGAUGUUUUUGGGUGGAGUGUGACUCUAAACUAAUAGGCAGCUUGUUAUGCCCCCGCCAAUGCGUAAAGCAUUGCGGAGGCAUUAUGUUUUACCAAUGUCCGUCAGCCGGUAGGCGUCAGGCGUCUGUAAACUUUUCGUUUCCUCUCAUUUUAACAAGAACGCUUUGAGUAAUAACCAUGUAACUUUUUGUGUGGGUAGAAAAAGAUAACGUGUACAGCGGGCAUUACAGACCAAUAACUCUUUCACGAUGUCAACUAAACCUAGUCAGCUAUUACACCAGCUGCCCGGGGUUGUCUGAAAAACACUUCACUUUCCUAAUACACCAACUCAAUGUGCUCACCGGGGCAUACGCCCUGCGUUGCUCUUGUUAUUGCAGUAUUUUUGUUCUUCCUCUGGUUCACCUUUAAACUAUUUUUCCAAUCUCCAAUCAUGUUUGAUGCUUUAGCCAUUUUGUUUCAGCUCUUAGAUAGUAGAAAAACGUGUUAUUCAUUAUUUCUGGUAGCACAAGUCCUGGCACGAAAUACCUUUCCCGUCAUAAUAUCAGUACCAAGACGUCACAGGGUAGGUCCUAACUCCAGGAAACGCCUUACUCGUGCACUGUUCCACGUGAAAAGGGUCACUGCUUGGAGAGCUAAAUGGGUCAACAUCAGAAAAGCGCGAUAAUUCAGUCUUUGGAAUUUUUUCUUUUUUUGUGCAAUUUGUUGAUGGAAACUACUUAUGUAGAACAGGAGGUGACUGGGCAGCGGACAGCUGGGUAAUAUUGCCCUUAACCCCUCGCCUCCCUAGAGGGGUCGAUAUAUCGUCCCUGUAUUUUGUCUCGCGUAGGCGGUACGAUAUAUCGUCCCUAUACUAAUGCUUUAGUAUAGAACUCUCGGUACACGUUAGACUCUAUUGUACAGUGUAUUCGUGUCCCUGGUGAUCUGCAGAAAACUAGAUUUAGUUUCAUUCAUAGUUUACAGAGGGCGCUGCAGUUUGAUUGGCGCUUGUGCAGCGUCACAGUACAAGAACUGAUUAGCAUAUAAAUUAAUAUUAUGUUGUAUUAUUCGAUCAAUCAGUAAUAGACAAUAGUCAAUCAAAGGUUAUCAAUCAAGUUACGUUGAUCAUUAACAGGUUGUAACUGCAUCAAUUACAGUUCCAUAUACUUUGUUCAAAUCAGAAAAAUCAAUCAAUUAGAGCAAAAUCAAUCAAAAAAUAUUGAUUAUUACUGAUUAUUGAUUACCUCUUACCUAAUUGAUACCCAGAAACAACGCCAAUUGAUAGCCAAGGUAAUCAGCUUUACGAAAAUGUAUGGUUUUAUUAGUCGUACUUCCACCUAUCAAAUCCCCGUGUCUUUUGCGCUUACACCUAUGAAUUGUCGUGUCUAAAUAGACCCGUGUGUCAAAUCCCCGUGUCUAUUAGCCCCAUCGAGCUUGAUGCGGCCAAUCGGGGGCUAAUUUAGACCCGUGUUCAACACUGGUUUUUGAUAGGUGGAAUCUGAAUAGACACAGCAAUUGCAAGUUCUAAGAUCCGGCGACAGAUGGCGCGGUGUAGUUGCCUCGGUAUUGCGCAUGCGAAAUUCCCCUCCAACGGGAAAGAAACACAGGAGAGCUCCCUACCUACAGCGCAUCUGUCGCCGGGGCUAUUAAUCAUUAUCUAACACAACUGAUAGGUGUGAGUGCGCCGCGGGUUUUUUGACACACGGCGAAGACACGGGUCUUGAAAAAACACGGGGUUUUAUCAUAGGUGUUCUGUAGGGACUGUAUAUUGAUAUAACUCCUCAACCUCUUAAACAAAACAACGUUUAUUUCUCCUUGCUUGCUACAAAAUCAAUCAAACUUUACAAAUGUUCAUCGCACGGAGACAAGACCACAAUUGAUUUUUUAAGCCUUUUAGCAGUUAAAUUGUCAAUGUUUGACCACGACGCAUCAAAGAAUGCGUCAAGUAGUGAAACUGAAAUUCGGAUAUGAUAUACGGGUUAGUCUUGCGAGUAACUGGUGCGAUGGAAAUUGGUGAUUGACCACGGAAAUUUUUUUUUAAUCGACAAAUUAGACAGACUUUGAUAUUUCCACUCUUUUCAGCCAACUGGCAGGAAAAACUCAAAACACGAAAUUAAUUUUUUCAUCAAAUAAUUUCUUUAUAUCUGUAGACUUGCCACAACAAAUAUUUUUUCAAUACCUCUCCAAAUAUGUACUUGAGAGUAAAAAACAUGCACUCGUCUAAUUGAUAGGCCUCGACCCUCCAACCUAUGAAUAUUCAUUAGUGGUCUUGUCUCCCACGUGCUCUCAUGGGUGGGCGCAGACAUCUUAAACUCCUUGCCAUUACUCGUUGUUGUCGUCGUUACACAUACAACCGUCUCAACCAAAUACACAGCAAUAGGUGGACCUAUGAGUUAUAAAUCAAGGAUAUGCAUAAAUCAUGCGUAAUGAAGGAGGUACAAUAUUUAAAAGUAUUUUUACGUUAUUUUGCAUAAAACUGGUAAAAAAUCUCAGUACAUCGCGUUACAUAGGCCUCAGGAGCCAAAGGGUUAAUAAUGCCUAAGGUCCUUUAAUAAUUUUGGUACCAAACCAAGUGCUUGAAGUGGUUGGAAUACCAUAACCUAUGCAGACACGUGAGGGCCAUUUACACGGAACCAGUGAUCUUGACCGAUCCAGAUCAUUCUAGAUUGGUUUGCUGCGUUUAUCCUCUUGACUCCCAAAACUUGAAAAUCACGGGAUCCCAGGGUGGUCACUUGGUUGCGAAAUUGGGUCUGACGUUCACGAUGUAUGGCGCCCGCAUACAACAACCAAAGUCCGGUGACGAGGCACCAUCUACCAUGGCAUGCUCUAACUGACCCUACUGUACAUCAAACACACUAAAACCAGCAGUAAAAUAGCAUCCCAGCUCAAGGGAAUAAAAAUAUUACUGAGACCGACCUGUCGGUCGUUGGGAAAAAAACAUUAUUUCAAAAUGACUGACUGGUCGGUCACCGGGAUUCAAGAGGUUGACUGCGCACCAUUGGUCAUUCGCAAGAAACACAAUGUUUAAGUUUUGAAUAUAAAGUUAAAAUAAAAGAUUGAGGUGUGUCGUGUAAUCAAGCAAUGUGCGUAUUCAUUUACGCGACACUCAUUAAUCAUCUUCUGUAAUAAUUUGUUUGAGUAAUCUUGGAAAGUUUUGAAAAAUGGCGUCCAUUACAUUUACAUUCUUCGCUCGUGCCUCAUCUCAACUAGAGCCCUUUGACGAGAGAUAAUGGCUUUUUCUGGCAUUUAUCUGAAAAACUUGACUUUCCUGAGAAACAUGACAGUGCCCAAGUUGUAGGGUAAUUACACAUUUCUUCAAGUCCCAAGAUAACAUUCAUUGAGUUAAGUUGAAAUCAGCAUGACAGUGAACUGAAUGGCUGCAAGAAUUUCCAGCAAGUACUUGUACCGGUAAUAUUUUUGUCUGACAACAACCGUUUUUGGGCCUUUUGAGCUUAUUAUAUAUGAGAGUAGUAGACAGAUCAAGUUGUUUGAAAUGACUGACAUAAUUUUAAAAGCCCUUGUCCUGCAAUUGCCACCGUGGUAAUGUACCUAAAGUGCCCCAGCCACAUAUGUACAAAUGAUAAUCAUGUUUGGCAAAAUGAAAUGUGUGGUGAAUAUUGAAAGUUCAAGUGUGAACACAUUAUGUAAAAGUGUGGAAUUACACAGCGAGAACUGUAUAAUCCCAGUAAAUGAUUUUUAUACAUAUUGAAGUCAUGAAGACUGUGAGUGUGAAUUUUAUCCUGAUACUUAAAGGCAGAAAGGGAAUUGAAGAUAGUGACAAAAAUGGUAUUUUUUCCUAAUGUUAAGUCGGGAUCGUGGGAUUAUUGAUUUCUGCCCGUUUCUAGUAUUGUGAGGAUGUAUUUGGUCAUUUGUUUUGAUGCAUGAAUGAAGUAACCCAGAUCGCAAUUAUUGAAAAAUUUGUGUAGAAACUUCAUUUGUAGUAGAGUGUGUAUAUCUGUUACUUCUAAUGAUUUUAAAGUCUUGAAUAAGGGUUUGGUGUGGGCAAUGAGCAGAGUAGAUAAUAAUAAUUAAAUGACCUGAAAUCUA
This is a long non-coding RNA of Lineus longissimus, 5528 nucleotides long. RefSeq lists it as uncharacterized. The transcript is spliced from 5 exons. Lineage: Eukaryota; Metazoa; Nemertea; Pilidiophora; Heteronemertea; Lineidae. The record is from RefSeq and is a predicted model, not a curated record.